Sus scrofa (pig) is the source of this 2414-nucleotide non-coding RNA. Lineage: Eukaryota; Metazoa; Chordata; Mammalia; Artiodactyla; Suidae. The record is from RefSeq and is a predicted model, not a curated record.
GGCGCCCCCCCAUCCCCCAGCGCGAGGACGGGCUGGAGACUAACCGCUCCAGCCCCCACCUCUCCGGCCUGACCUCGAGCCAGUAUCCUGGCGGCAAGGGCCAGCUCCCCACCCUUCCCAUCUGAUGACUCUGGGCAGGCUGCAGGCAGAGCAUGGAUACAAUCAGCGGGGACCCCCAGAAAGCCCUCCGGCCUGCUUCCCCUCUCACCCCUGGGACCUCAUCCCCUCCCCCGGCUGGAAAGCAGAACGGCUGAGCCUGACCUCGAUUUGGGAAGAGCCUGUGUCUCUGUGGGAGGAGGAAGCUCAGAGGGCAGGUGCUGCAGCAUGGCCUGGAAUUCCGAGUCGUAUCGCCGGUUGAUGUCAUCCCCAAUGAUGGCGAGCUGGCGGCCUACCUGCCCCAUGGUGCUGGAGGAAGGCCUGUGAGCCGCAAACCCUCCUGAGUGCCUGUGGUAAACUUCCAGCACGUACAGAGGAGUCCUCCCCAGGGUGCCGGACACAGAGCAAAUUGACCUAGCCACAGGGUAAGCACGGUCAUACCCACUUUCCAGGUGGGAAGAAUGAGGCACAGAGAAGUCAGUGCCAAGGCCACGUGCUAGUCCAGGAGUCCGGUUGGUUGUCUGAGCUUCCAGGAGCCCAUCCUCCACUCAACACUCGUUUCGGAACCCCCUGAGCAAGGCCAGGGAUCGAACCCGUGUCCUGACGGAUAGUAGUCGGGUUCAUUAACCGCUAAACCAUGACGGGAACUCCUCGGAUUUAUUUCCCAGUUUAUGGACCUCAGAGAGUGUCCUUUCCAAGGCAGCUUCCCCGUUUGCCUGUGCUCUUCCCACUCCCUUCUCACGGGGAGUUGAGAAAACUACAUGCACCCCUUGCCCUUGGGUCUCCAGCCCCUACUCUCCUUUUUCACCCAGUUCUGGCUGCUGCCUGGGCUGCUCUGUAAACCCUCUGCAGAGGGAGUAUUUCCUGGACAUGAGCUGUUUCACUUUCAGUUUGCACCCCUUCACUUCCCUCCACCCCAAAGCUGCCUCCAUCACCCAGGCAGAGGUCCCUCCUCCCGCCCCAGGGAGGCCCCUCCCUACCCUGGGCCAGCUCCCUGGGAGGACCAGUCAGUGCACCCUCCCCGCCCACCCCUCCCUCUCAGGCCUGGGGCUACUUUCGAAAGCAGCAGAAAGAAGGGUGGGGACGGUCCGGACCACCUGUGCCUCCCCUCCUCCACCCAGUGCCACCUGGGGAAGACCGACCUUGGCCUGGCAUGCACCCAUCCCAGCAGCCUCCUCCUGAACAAGGUGCCCUUCUGGCUCCCUUGGUGCCCCCAGGACUGCAGGGCUGGAGGAUGCUGACAGCACCCCUGCCACCCUCGGGCUCAGAGCUGGGGAGAAGUUGGCGCCUCAGAGCAGCCCCAAGGCCCCAGGCCUUGCUGAUCUGGGUCUACCCCUGCCCCCUCCAAGCACCUGACUUCCUGGUACUCUGAGUUCCCCACUUGUGGGGUCUGCCCAGGGGAGGAGGGUGGCCAGGAUGCUUCCCCAGGGGAGGUGCCUGACUCUAGACCGCUCUUAGGUCUCCUGGGGCAGCAGGGAGGCUGUAAGUUCUCCCCGUGCCCUUGACCUUGGCUCUGACCUCCCCCCCCAUCCCCCAGACUGCUAAAGAGCCUGGUUCUUUGACACCCGAUUCUCGGGCCCCUAGGGCCAGGGUGAGAGGGGAAGCUGCCUGAGGGGUGGCCAGAGGGAGCCCCGGGUGGAUCAGGCCCCGAACAGGGCUCGGUGGAGUCCCGGGGGUUGGGGGGAGCCUGAGGCCUUCCCCCCCCAGCCCCCUGCCUCCCUCACCUACCCCCGGCCCGGAGCUCCCAGGCGUGGGGAGCACAGGCGGGACCCUCCCGGCUUACCUGCCCAGACCCUGGCCCAGGCCUGGGUUGGCUCAGCAGGGCGGAGGCCGGUGAUCCCAGUGGCCAGUGGCCACUCCCAGGGUAAGGUACCCAGGCUCGGCCUCCAGAGACGGGCGCCAGUGAGUUCCUGGUGUCAGGAUGCAGCCUGGGCUGGUCCCAGCGCGGCCUUCGGGACCCGCGAGGCUUUGGCGAUCAUAGAGGUGCCGGCGGCUCCCGCUCCAAUCAGCUCCCUCUAGAGGAAGUUGCUCUGCGGCCGCCGGAUGCAGCCGCUGAAGCCUGCAGCACGGGGCUGGGGCUGGGCUCAGGGCGGAGAGCGCGGCUCCCACCCCUGCCGAGUGUCCCCACCCACGGCUUUUCCCACCCGGGUUCCCUGUCCUCCUCCUUGAUCUUGCCCCACUUCUGUCCGUCGGUAUCAGCAAGAAAGCCAGGCUGGUGAGGUUUGUGAAGCCCUGCUGUGUGCUGGGCACUUUAUUUUUUUAUUUUUUUUUAUUUUUUUUUCGUCUUUUUGCUAUUUCUUGGGCCGCUCCCACGGCAU